RNAcentral lists this ribosomal RNA (967 nucleotides) under uncultured bacterium. RNAcentral describes it as "bacterial SSU rRNA". It matches the Rfam family "Bacterial small subunit ribosomal RNA", at positions 535 to 1500 of the family's 1533-position model. The record is from RNAcentral.
GGGACGAUGUCGGGAUAUUGGGCGUAAGAGCUCGUAGGCGGUUUGUUGCGUCGGCUGUGAAAUCCCGAGGCUCAACCUCGGGUCUGCAGUCGGUACGGGCAGACUAGAGUGAUGUAGGGGAGACUGGAAUUCCUGGUGUAGCGGUGAAAUGCGCAGAUAUCAGGAGGAACACCGAUGGCGAAGGCAGGUCUCUGGGCAUUAACUGACGCUGAGGAGCGAAAGCAUGGGGAGCGAACAGGAUUAGAUACCCUGGUAGUCCAUGCCGUAAACGUUGGGCACUAGGUGUGGGGGACAUUCCACGUUUUCCGCGCCGUAGCUAACGCAUUAAGUGCCCCGCCUGGGGAGUACGGCCGCAAGGCUAAAACUCAAAGGAAUUGACGGGGGCCCGCACAAGCGGCGGAGCAUGCGGAUUAAUUCGAUGCAACGCGAAGAACCUUACCAAGGCUUGACAUGGGCCGGACCGGGCUGGAAACAGUCCUUCCCCUUUGGGGCCGGUUCACAGGAGGUGCAUGGUUGUCGUCAGCUCGUGUCGUGAGAUGUUGGGUUAAGUCCCGCAACGAGCGCAACCCUCGUUCCAUGUUGCCAGCGCGUAAUGGCGGGGACUCAUGGGAGACUGCCGGGGUCAACUCGGAGGAAGGUGGGGACGACGUCAAAUCAUCAUGCCCCUUAUGUCUUGGGCUUCACGCAUGCUACAAUGGCCGGUACAAAGGGCUGCGAUGUCGUAAGGCGGAGCGAAUCCCAAAAAGCCGGUCUCAGUUCGGAUUGAGGCCUGCAACUCGACCUCAUGAAGUCGGAGUCGCUAGUAAUCGCAGAUCAGCAACGCUGCGGUGAAUACGUUCCCGGGCCUUGUACACACCGCCCGUCAAGUCAUGAAAGUCGGUAACACCCGAAGCCGGUGGCCUAACCCUUGUGGAGGGAGCCGUCGAAAGUGGGAUCGGUGAUUAGGACUAAGUCGUAACAAGGUAAC